UACGGGAGGCAGCAGGGGGAAUAUUGCACAAUGGGCGCAAGCCUGAUGCAGCCAUGCCGCGUGUAUGAAAAAGGCCUUCGGGUUGUAAAGUACUUUCAGUCGUGAGGAAGGUGUUAAGGUUAAUAACCUUAGCAAUUGACGUUAGCGACAGAAGAAGCACCGGCUAACUCCGUGCCAGCAGCCGCGGUAAUACGGAGGGUGCGAGCGUUAAUCGGAAUUACUGGGCGUAAAGGGCACGCAGGCGGUUAAUUAAGUUGGAUGUGAAAUCCCCGGGCUUAACCUGGGAAUGGCAUUCAAGACUGGUUAGCUAGAGUCUUGUAGAGGGGGUUAGAAUUCCAUGUGUAGCGGUGAAAUGCGUAGAGAUGUGGAGGAAUACCGGUGGCGAAGGCGGCCCCUGGACAAAGACUGACGCUCAUGUGCGAAAGCGUGGGGAGCGAAACAGGGAUUAGAUACCCGU
Molecule: ribosomal RNA, 457 nt
Filed under: uncultured bacterium
Lineage: Bacteria
Description: bacterial SSU rRNA
Rfam family: Bacterial small subunit ribosomal RNA
Source: RNAcentral